This 446-nucleotide long non-coding RNA is filed under the name Callithrix jacchus (white-tufted-ear marmoset). RNAcentral describes it as "lncRNA (ENSCJAG00000085361.1)". The record is from RNAcentral. Lineage: Eukaryota; Metazoa; Chordata; Mammalia; Primates; Cebidae.
CUAUAAAUGUACAGAAAAAGGAUGAAAAUGUUUUGAUAAGACAAUGGCUUAAUCCAAUAUAUAUUUUGACAGGACCAUUCUGGUUACUGUGUAAACCACACGCCACAGGGGGCAAAGGUAAAGGCAAGAAACCAGUCAAGAGGCUCCCGUAGUAGCUAAGAGGAAGAAAAUGAUGUUGACUGAGACAAUAAGACACACAAUGAGACUGGGAUAACAAGCCAUUGAGAUGGAAGGAAAAACCAAGAAUGGGUUUCAGUCUUGUGCUUCACUGCAAACUUGCAUUCUGAAAAGCAGGAUCUGCUAACUUCUACUUUAGAAGUCACCGAGAUUUGAAGCAAAUUGAGCUGUCCAGAAGGUAAGUAUCUCAGGUAACCUCAUCAAACGUUUUCACAGUAAUCCCAGCACUUUAGGAAGCUGAGGCAGGUGGAUCACCUGAGGUCAGGAAU